Molecule: ribosomal RNA, 403 nt
Filed under: uncultured bacterium
Lineage: Bacteria
Description: partial 16S ribosomal RNA
Rfam family: Bacterial small subunit ribosomal RNA
Source: RNAcentral
GACGAACGCUGGCGGCGUGCCUAAUACAUGCAAGUCGAACGCAGUGGGGACGGGUGAGUAACAAGUGGGUAACCUCCCAUCAGAGGGGAUAACACUUGGAAACAGGUGCUAAACCGCUACUGAUGGAUGGACCCGCGGUGCAUUAGCGAGUUGGUGUGGUAACGGCUCACCAAGGCCACGAUGCAUCGCCGACCUGAGAGGGUGACCGGCCACACGGGAACUGAGACACGGCCCAGACUCCUACGGGAGGCAGCAGUAGGGAAUCUUCGACAAUGGGCGAAAGUCUGACCGGGCAACGCCGGGUGAGUGAAGAAGGUUUUCGGAUCGUAAAACGCUGUUGUUGGAGAAGCGGUAUCUAACCAGAAAGCCACGGCUAACUACGUGCCAGCAGCCGCGGUAAUUC